Molecule: ribosomal RNA, 231 nt
Filed under: uncultured bacterium
Lineage: Bacteria
Description: partial 16S ribosomal RNA
Rfam family: Bacterial small subunit ribosomal RNA
Source: RNAcentral
UGAGGAACAUGACCUUCGGCGGGGGAUAGCCGGCCCAACGGCCGGGUAAUACCGCGUACGACCACAUGGGGACAUCCCUGAGUGGUGAAAGCAGCAAUGCGCCGAUGGAGUGCCUCGCGGCCUAUCAGCUAGUUGGUGAGGUCAUGGCUCACCAAGGCGACGACGGGUAGCUGGUCCGAGAGGAUGACCAGCCACAUUGGGACUGAGACACGGCCCAGAUCCCGUACGGGG